RNAcentral lists this transfer RNA (69 nucleotides) under Ictidomys tridecemlineatus (thirteen-lined ground squirrel). RNAcentral describes it as "Spermophilus tridecemlineatus (thirteen-lined ground squirrel) tRNA". It matches the Rfam family "tRNA". Rfam says of the family: Transfer RNA (tRNA) molecules are approximately 80 nucleotides in length. The record is from Rfam by way of RNAcentral. Lineage: Eukaryota; Metazoa; Chordata; Mammalia; Rodentia; Sciuridae.
GGGGUUGUGGUUCAGAGGUAGAGCGCUCGCCUAGCAUGCGAGAGGCGCUGGGUUCGAUCCUCAGCACCA